GGAUGAUGUCACCUGGAGCGAGUAGCGCGCGGCGUGGACCGCGAGCGGCGACCCCGGAUCCCGGCAGGGGCGCGCUCUGCCCCUCGCAGCGCUCGGGACGCCGGGGCCGGGCGGGCCGCAGGAUGAGGAGAAAGGCUGGGUUUGCAGUCGUUCAACAAGCAGCCGGCUACGGCCGCGCUGGGACUUGGGAUGGAGCAAGGUCGUCCCCGACAGGACCGUGGCCUCGAGUCCCGGGAGGAGCGGAGGACAGGAGAGGGGCGCGCGCAGGCCGCGCUGGGCUGCGAGCACCGCGGGCCCCAGCGGCUCAGCAGGCAGGCAGAGUGGACAGUGAGAGAGACAGAGAGAAAGGUCUUCCUUUUUUUGCCGUUGGCUCACCCUCCAAUGGCCGCUGCGGCCAGCGCACUGCACUGAUCCGAAGGCAGGAGCCAGGUGCUUCUCCUGGUCUCCCAUGGGGUGCAGGGCCCAAGCACCUGGGCCAUCCUCCACUGCCCUCCCUGGCCACAGCAGAGAGCUGGCCUGGAAGAGGGGCAACCGGGACAGAAUCCGGCGCCCCGACCGGGACUAGAACCCAGUGUGCCGGCGCCGCAAGGCGGAGGAUUAGCCUAGUGAGCCGCGGCGCCGGCCAAAAUAAAUAAAUCUUUUAAAAAAGGAAAAGGAAACACAAGUCCUGGUACCUUCCCUACGUCUCCCACUUCGACGUCGGCUGGAGCUGCCUGACUGGCCGGCUGUGAUGGUGCCGCCUCCCUGCCCUUACUCUUCCACUCCCGCGGCAGCAGCUUCCAGGCUGGUGGGACACCCAGCGCCAGCUCAACACGGAGCCCGAGGGGAGCUGAGCCCGCCUCGGCCUGCGAUUUCCACGCACCUUUCCUUUUCUCCCAGUCUCGAUUUCUUCAAAAUCCCCACCAUGGCUGCUGUUCUGCGGAGUCUUUUGUCCCUGAACUUUCUGAGAACCUCACCAGGAUCUGGACCAACUGCCAUCCUGGGACUUCCUGCCGCUGAGCUAUGGAACCACAUCACUUCCUUUUGCCACCACGUUUAAAAAAAAAAAUCACUGAGACAGAGGCUGUUCCCACACACAGGCUCAGUCUGCCAGUGCCGACAGCUGGGCCAGGCCAGAUCUGGGAGCCUGGAACACAACCUAGGUCUCCCACAGACGGCAGGAAACCCAGGUCCCCCCUCAUCACGGCUGCCUCCCGGACUCUGCAUUAGGAGGGGAGGUGGGACUCGAACUCAGGUACUCUGACACGGGACACGGGUGCCUGAACUGCCAGGCAGGAUGCCCACUAUUUCAAGUCCAUUCUGGUUAACAAGUCCUCAGUAAACUUGCUAAUAACGCA
Molecule: non-coding RNA, 1337 nt
Organism: Oryctolagus cuniculus (rabbit)
Lineage: Eukaryota; Metazoa; Chordata; Mammalia; Lagomorpha; Leporidae
Source: RefSeq, a predicted model, not a curated record